AAUAUCUCUAUACUAUAGACUAGAGACCUAUCUAUCUUGAAGAAAAUGAUUUGUGCAUCAGUCUAUCCAGAUCGAUCACUAUCCUCAUGAUAAUCUUAUAAUCGAAAGUCUUUAAAAAUUAAAUAUAUGUCUCUAAUUCUCAACACUUUGAGAAUAUGUAUCAAAAAUUAAUUUCAUAGACGAUUCAAGGACACACCAU
Molecule: long non-coding RNA, 199 nt
Filed under: Elaeis guineensis (African oil palm)
Lineage: Eukaryota; Viridiplantae; Streptophyta; Magnoliopsida; Arecales; Arecaceae
Description: long non-coding RNA (EGUI_LNC051713)
Source: RNAcentral